UACGUAGGGGCCUAGCGUUGUCCGGAAUUAUUGGGCGUAAAGAGCUCGUAGGCGGUUCGGCAAGUCGGAUGUGAAAUCUCCACGCUUAACGUGGAGGGGCCAUUCGAAACUGCUGUGACUCGAGUCCGGUAGGGGAGUGUGGAAUUCCUGGUGUAGCGGUGAAAUGCGCAGAUAUCAGGAGGAACACCGGUGGCGAAGGCGGGUCUCUGGGCCGAUACUGACGCUGAGGAGCGAAAGCGUGGGGAGCGAACAGG
Molecule: ribosomal RNA, 254 nt
Filed under: uncultured bacterium
Lineage: Bacteria
Description: partial 16S ribosomal RNA
Rfam family: Bacterial small subunit ribosomal RNA
Source: RNAcentral